Molecule: transfer RNA, 71 nt
Filed under: Loxodonta africana (African savanna elephant)
Lineage: Eukaryota; Metazoa; Chordata; Mammalia; Proboscidea; Elephantidae
Rfam family: tRNA
About the family: Transfer RNA (tRNA) molecules are approximately 80 nucleotides in length. Their secondary structure includes four short double-helical elements and three loops (D, anti-codon, and T loops). Further hydrogen bonds mediate the characteristic L-shaped molecular structure. tRNAs have two regions of fundamental functional importance: the anti-codon, which is responsible for specific mRNA codon recognition, and the 3' end, to which the tRNAs corresponding amino acid is attached (by aminoacyl-tRNA synthetases). tRNAs cope with the degeneracy of the genetic code in two manners: having more than one tRNA (with a specific anti-codon) for a particular amino acid; and 'wobble' base-pairing, i.e. permitting non-standard base-pairing at the 3rd anti-codon position.
Source: Rfam by way of RNAcentral
GUACUGGUGGUUCAGUGGUAGAAUUCUUGCCUUCCAUGCUAGAGACCCAAGUUAGAUUCCCAGCCAUUACA